GUAGCGGCGAGCGAAGCGGGAAGAGCUCAAAUUUAUAAUCUGGCACCUUCGGUGUCCGAGUUGUAAUCUCUAGAAGUGUUUUCCGCGUUGGACCGCACACAAGUCUGUUGGAAUACAGCGGCAUAGUGGUGAAACCCCCGUAUAUGGUGCGGACGCCCAGCGCUUUGUGAUACACUUUCAAUGAGUCGAGUUGUUUGGGAAUGCAGCUCAAAUUGGGUGGUAAAUUCCAUCUAAAGCUAAAUAUUGGCGAGAGACCGAUAGCGAACAAGUACCGUGAGGGAAAGAUGAAAAGCACUUUGGAAAGAGAGUUAACAGUACGUGAAAUUGUUGGAAGGGAAACGCUUGAAGUCAGACUUGCUUGCCGGAGCUUGCUUCGGUUUGCAGGCCAGCAUCAGUUUUCCGGGGUGGAUAAUGACGGUUUGAAGGUAGCAGUCUCGGCUGUGUUAUAGCUUUCCGUUGGAUACAUCCUGGGGGACUGAGGAACGCAGCGUGCUUUUUGCGAAAGACUCGUCUUUUUCACGCUUAGGAUGCUGGUGGAAUGGCUUUAAACGACCCGUC
RNAcentral lists this ribosomal RNA (558 nucleotides) under Rhodotorula graminis. Its description in RNAcentral is "eukaryotic LSU rRNA". It matches the Rfam family "Eukaryotic large subunit ribosomal RNA", at positions 83 to 653 of the family's 3401-position model. Lineage: Eukaryota; Fungi; Basidiomycota; Microbotryomycetes; Sporidiobolales; Sporidiobolaceae. The record is from RNAcentral.